UGUUAUCACUUGGUGAGUGGAUAAAUGCACUGCCCUGUUCACCUGUUCUCCAGGAAAGAUAAUGGAGGAGGCUACUUUUCCAGAUUAUCCACAAUGACUUUCUUUUUCUGUGGUCUGUUCAGUUCAAACCACAGGGAUUUGUUGGCUGGCUGGCUGGUACGAACAGUGCUUUUUGAGGAAUAGUUGCUGUAAUAUUCAUUAUUCCGAGCCUGACCUCAGACGAGGAUGCGGUGACCUUCCUAUAAUAAUGGAUACCCAUCACUCCCAAGCCUUAUGACCUUUCCUUUUUCUUUUUGGUUCUCCUGCCUUUCUCCACUGCAAAAGAGAGAGGUGGGGGGAGAAGGCAGCACAAUACAAUGCAGUCCUCUGCCAGCAGAUUUGUUUCAAAAGGAACUCAUGCAUCUUGCAUCUUGAAGAUGCAUUAUUAAUGCCUGGACAAAUCACAUCAGGUGGAACUCAGCAAGUCCUUGGCACUGAAAAAAGGAACAAAGGCUGGUUCUACAAGAGAGUGAAGGAUGAGACAAAUUAUAACAGCUGGAUGUUCCUUAAUCAAAAGAGAGUCCUGAAAAGCAGUUAAUCCAGUUUCUGCUCAAAAGUUUCCAGAGAAGGAGACCUCCCCUGAUCCCUCAACAAAUGCAUUUGACCUGUUUUGGUAUCUAACAGUUCUUUCCAAGCCAGAGUUCUGAACUGCACCAGUCUGAUGCAGUUCUGGAGUCUACAACUUCUCUGUCUCCCCUCCCACCACAUCCAGGGACAUCUUAGCUCUUCCACAGUGAAAUGCAAUGAUUUCAUUAUUAUUAUGGUAAUGUUAUUGGUAUUUUAAAAAUAAAAUAUAUCUUUCAGUAUAAUGGACAACAAACAUUUAAAGUUUAUAUGUACACUGAAAAUUAUAUUGGCCUUUUAUGUUGUGCAUCUUUAAGUCAGUGUAGUUGCUUUGAAGUAUGCUAAGUAUAGUUGUUGUAGUACAGUGUGCUUCUUUUGAAGUGAAAUGUGAGUAUGUUGACCUUUCUUGGCAUAUUUCGGAUUGUAGUGUCUUCCAGUCAAGCCAAUGAUAAUUAUAUCUGGUCUUGUGUGCCACUUUAAGAUUAAAUCCUAAUGUCCACAUAAAACAUUGAACCAGGUCCUUGGAAUAAAUGUAUUUUCUCCAGUGUCAAAUAUAUGGGUACAAUGAUAGCUAAGCAUGACUUUGUUUUUGUCAUGUAAUCAACUCUUCAUCGCAAA
Anolis sagrei ordinatus is the source of this 1221-nucleotide long non-coding RNA. RefSeq lists it as uncharacterized. NCBI's taxonomy places the organism in Eukaryota, Metazoa, Chordata, Lepidosauria, Squamata, Anolidae. The record is from RefSeq and is a predicted model, not a curated record.